UCUGCUCUGCGUAUGCCUGAUUACAUCAGAUCUCAGACACUAAGCAGGAUAGGUCCUGAUUAGGACUUGGAUGGGAAACCUCUUAGGAAGAAAUGG
Thalassophryne amazonica is the source of this 96-nucleotide long non-coding RNA. RefSeq lists it as uncharacterized. NCBI's taxonomy places the organism in Eukaryota, Metazoa, Chordata, Actinopteri, Batrachoidiformes, Batrachoididae. The record is from RefSeq and is a predicted model, not a curated record. The transcript has 3 exons.